GGUCAAGUUAUUAAGGGUGCAGGGCGGAUGCCUUGGCACUAGGAGCCGAUGAAGGACGUGAUAAGCUGCGAUAAGCUUCGGGGAGUUGCACGUAAACUUUGAUCCGAAGAUUUCCGAAUGAGGAAACUCACUUAGAGUAAUGUCUAAGUAUCAUUAAGUGAAUACAUAGCUUAAUGAGGGGAACUCAGGGAACUGAAACAUCUAAGUACCUGAAGGAAGAGAAAGAAAUUCGAUUCCGUAAGUAGCGGCGAGCGAACGCGGAUUAGCCCAAACCAAUAAAGUUUUCUUUAUUGGGGUUGCGGACAUAUCAUAACGAAGAGGUAUCGUAAUUGAAGAGGUUUGGAAAGACCCACCACAGAAGGUAAUAGUCCUGUAUGUUAAACGAGAAGACUUUAGAUAUGAUCCAGAGUACCACGGGACACGUGAAACCCUGUGGGAAGCAGGAGGGACCACCCUCCAAGGCUAAAUACUACCUAGUGACCGAUAGCGUAUAGUACCGUGAGGGAAAGGUGAAAAGAACCCCGGGAGGGGAGUGAAAUAGAACCUGAAACCCUGCACUUACAAGCUGUGGAAGCACAUUUCUUGUGUGACCGCGUACUUUUUGUAGAACGGGCCAACGAGUUACGUUAAGUAGCAAGGUUAAGCACUUAAGGUGCGGAGCCGUAGCGAAAGCGAGUUUUAACUGAGCGUUCAGUUACUUGACGUAGACCCGAAACCGGGCGACCUACCCAUGAGCAGGAUGAAGCGAAAGUAAAAUUUCGUGGAGGUCCGAACCCACGAGCGUUGAAAAGCUCGGGGAUGACUUGUGGGUAGCGGUGAAAUUCCAAUCGAGCCCGGAGAUAGCUGGUUCUCCCCGAAAUAGCUUUAGGGCUAGCCUCAAGGUGAGAGAUACGGAGGUAGAGCACUGAAUGUCCUAGGGGGUAUUGCACCUACCGAAGACUAUCAAACUCCGAAUGCCGUCAUCUUAUACUUGGGAGUCAGACUGUGGGUGAUAAGAUUCAUAGUCGAAAGGGCAACAGCCCAGAUCGUCAGCUAAGGUCCCUAAAUGUAAGUUAAGUGGUAAAGGAUGUGGGAUUGCACAGACAACCAGGAUGUUGGCUUAGAAGCAGCCACUCAUUCAAAGAGUGCGUAAUAGCUCACUGGUCGAGUGAUCCUGCGCCGAAGAUUUCCGGGGCUAAAACUUACUACCGAAGCUACGGCAUCAGUAAUGAUGGGUAGGGGAGCUUCCCAUACGGGUUGAAGCAUGACCGUAAGGACAUGUGGACAGUAUGGGAGUGAGAAUGUUGGCAUGAGUAGCGAGAUGUGGGUGAGAAUCCCACAGGCC
Molecule: ribosomal RNA, 1324 nt
Filed under: Clostridioides difficile
Lineage: Bacteria; Bacillati; Bacillota; Clostridia; Peptostreptococcales; Peptostreptococcaceae
Description: partial 23S ribosomal RNA
Rfam family: Bacterial large subunit ribosomal RNA
Source: RNAcentral